ACCAAUGUAAUAUGAAAUCUUAAACGAUAAAAGAUUAAAUUUUCAAUAAUAAAGAAAUAUACCCAGAACUAAAAAGAUUAAAUUGAAUAAUAAAGAAACAUACCCAGAACUAAAAAGAUGAAAUCUUGAAUAAUAAAGAAACAAUGAAACAUACCAAGAAACUAAAAAGGUGAAAUCUUGAAUAAUAAUAAUAAAAAAAAAACAUACCAAAAAAUGGUCAAGUUCUUGGCGAUCAUGUGGUGAAAGUGGCUGAUUAUGGUGGUCGGAGAUGUAUGAAGAAAAAGAUCAAGAAAAAUGAAGAAAAAGAUCAAGAAAACUUCUCUCUCUAAAACUUUCUCUCACAAGAAUCAAGAAAGUGAAAUGUGUGGGGUUAGGGAAAGAGGACCACUUGUACUUUGGGAGAGCUAGCUGGAAAGAGGACUACUUAAACGAUAAAAGAUUAAAUUUUUUAAGUUUAUGUUUUUAUUUUAAGUAUGUAAUUUGUUUUUAAUAUUAAUGAAAAUAUUUUGUUAUUUUAUUUGUUAAAUGUUAAACAAAAUGUAGAAGAUUAAAAAAAUAUAAAAAUGUUAUUUAAUUUUUUUCCUUAUGUUUUAUAUAGAUUUGAAAAUGUUUUUAUAAUUAAUUUCAUUUAUGUUUCGUUUUAAAUUUAUUUCUUUAAGUUUAAUUUUUUUUAAGUUUAUGUAAUGUUUUUUAAUAUUAAUGAAAAUAUUUUAUUACUUUAUUUGGUAAAUGUUAAAUAAAAGUUGAAGAUUAAAAAAAAUAAAAAAACAUAAAAGUGGUGGAGGACUAUGACUAGGACCAUCCUCCCAUGCCCUCUAGUUUUGGAGGAUGAUCCAUCCUUGGGAGGACUAUGACGUGUCAUCUACGUGGCGGAUCAUCCUCCAAGAAUAGACCAUCACCAUACCUUGUAGUCUUACUUAAUGUUUAUUAGCUAUGCAUUAAAUGCAAAUGAUUGACUGAUUUUGUGUUACAAUCAAGAGUAAAUUAUAAGUUUUGUUAUGUACCAAAUUGCAAGCGGCGCCCUUUAACUUCAAAAUUAACUGGUUUUGUUCUUAACGUUUCAAAAUCCUGCACGUUGUGUCCUUUAGGCCAAACCCAAUUAUAAUUUUUGGUUAAAGUUGGUCAUGUGUCUUGCACAUGAGGGCACUUUUGUCAUUUCGCCUUCGUAGGAACUAUUAAGUAAAUAAGUUAGG
RNAcentral lists this long non-coding RNA (1193 nucleotides) under Helianthus annuus (common sunflower). RNAcentral describes it as "hypothetical non coding rna". The record is from RNAcentral. Lineage: Eukaryota; Viridiplantae; Streptophyta; Magnoliopsida; Asterales; Asteraceae.